UUGCAUGUCCUCCAAUCAGCCUUGCAAUCAGCCAUUCAUCCACUCACCCAAGACAAGUGGCAAUUCAAAAGCAGCUAACGUUUCUUAAGUGCCUACUGUGUGCCAAGUGUGUGAUUCCAGCUAAGGCACACAAAAGCUCAGUGAGACUUUUUAACAGAAUUUCUUCUAAGAAGGUUUGCUGGCCAGGCUGGAAGCAGCAACUAGAAUGAAAUCCACAAGGUCAGGGAGAAGCAGAGCAGGUGACGCUGUAUCUAUCUGACUCUAGGGAUACAGUAACAAAGGAGAUGGUGCAGAGAGGCACCAAGUCAAGGGCAGAUGAGGCUUGGGAGGCUCUCCCUUCCCCCAUCAGACUGUUAACAUGGAAUACAAAGCUCAAGUCUUUAUUACCGAAAAAAGAAAAAGUAGCAGCAGGAGAAGAGCGGGAGGCGGUAAGAGGGGAGAGAAGAGGGAGCCACAUGCUGAAAUCAAUACUGCCCAGGACAAGCAUUAUCCCAUGUGGAACACCUCAAGCCUCUGCCUAGAAAAUUUGAUUGGAUCUUCAGAAAAACCUAUUAGUGUGUUGUCAGGACCUUCUGGUGAUAACUGACCAGCCCUUGCCAAUCGAUGCUCUUCACUUGUGGAGCUCCUGAUUUUUUAACAGCAUAAUUGUUUUUUUAAUAACGGGCUGGCUCACCCACUCCAGCAAGCAGGGAGUCAAAGUCAGACUCCUAACUUAAAAUAUAGAGAAACGCGAUGCUCCAGCCACUUCUUCCUAAUUGCACAAUUACUUUAUGGAGCACCAGGGAUGGAAGGCUGCAGUGGGGGUGCGUUUUUUUUUUUUUUUUUUCAGCCAAGCGAGGUUGUUACGUCACAGAAGUAAUUACACAUGUCAAAAUUAUUUACUAAAUGAAAGCCAUUCUUCACCAAGGAGUCUUUAUUUAUUUUUUAUAAAGAAAAAGGGCAAAAAGAAGAUGAUCCCAGGACGGCGACGACAUCAUAAAGCAACAAUGGAAUUAGUCGUCAAUUAUUACAGCUUUUUAAUUUUCAACUCAAGAGGGAGCAACGCAUAUUUUCCUUAGGGUUUUAAGUGCUCUACAACAACAGCAGUAUUUUUGCUCUUUACCGUGCCUAGGAUCUGAGAUGUCAAAGUACUUUACAAAUAACUUUGGGAUUGAGGCUCUGUACAGCUGGAGAGCAGGGCCCAGGGAGGAAGCGAUUUGCCCAAGGUCAUGGCUGAAUCAGAGGCACAGCUGGAAACACUACUCAUGAAUACUGGCUCCUGGAGUCAGAGCUCAUCACCACCAGCCUGCCCACCUCCCACACACACCAAAACAAAACCCCUAAGCCAGAAAACAGCAGCGGGCAGAGAAGUCGCCUGCUCUUCACAGCCCAGGGUGUUCACACUGACAAUUUGCUGUACAGAUUGGAAGCUGGGUGUACAGGUCAGAGAUCUCUACAGAUUGCCGUUGCUGGACCCAGGAGAAUCAGUCACUAAGGAAAGCUAAAAGUUCACUCUGCAUAGUUGGGUAGCUCAGCUUUCCAUCCUGAGCCCCCAGGUGUAUAUGUCAGAUUCUGGUCUUCCGGGAGGGGUUGACGGCUCAUGCGACAGUUCACUCUGCCCACCUGGCAGGUCUGGUUCUUUUCUGGGUUGGCUCCCUCCAGAACUUGCUCUACAUGCCCAGAGCUGGAGUCCAAGAUUCAGAGAAGAGAGAGCGAGAAAGAGAGGGAGAGAAAGAGGAAAAGAAAAGAAAAGAAGGAAGACAGAGGAGAGACUGUUUGGAAGCCUGUGCAGUCCCUAGAACCUCUUUUUAUGAAGACUCCAUUCCACACUGUGUUACAUAUAUUAGGAUCCCACAUUGAGUACAGUUUCUGAUUAUUUACCAGUUCAGUUAGGCUGAAGUUUGCUGGUGACAUUAUUAUGGUUUUGUAGAUAUUUAAUUAAACAAUUAAUACAUUUGA
This is a long non-coding RNA of Cebus imitator (Panamanian white-faced capuchin), 1938 nucleotides long. RefSeq lists it as uncharacterized. The transcript has 2 exons. NCBI's taxonomy places the organism in Eukaryota, Metazoa, Chordata, Mammalia, Primates, Cebidae. The record is from RefSeq and is a predicted model, not a curated record.